AUUGAACGCUGGCGGCAUGCCUUACACAUGCAAGUCGAACGGCAGCACGGGUGCUUGCACCUGGUGGCGAGUGGCGAACGGGUGAGUAAUACAUCGGAACAUGUCCUGUAGUGGGGGAUAGCCCGGCGAAAGCCGGAUUAAUGCCGCAUACGAUCUACGGAUGAAAGCGGGGGACCUUCGGGCCUCGCGCUAUAGGGUUGGCCGAUAGCUGAUUAGCUAGUUGGUGGGGUAAAGGCCUACCAAGGCGACGAUCAGUAGCUGGUCUGAGAGGACGACCAGCCACACUGGGACUGAGACACGGCCCAGACUCCUACGGGAGGCAGCAGUGGGGAAUUUUGGACAAUGGGCGAAAGCCUGAUCCAGCAAUGCCGCGUGUGUGAAGAAGGCCUUCGGGUUGUAAAGCACUUUUGUCCGGAAAGAAAUCCUUGGCUCUAAUACAGUCGGGGGAUGACGGUACCGGAAGAAUAAGCACCGGCUAACUACGUG
This 486-nucleotide ribosomal RNA is filed under the name uncultured bacterium. RNAcentral describes it as "partial 16S ribosomal RNA". It matches the Rfam family "Bacterial small subunit ribosomal RNA", at positions 30 to 507 of the family's 1533-position model. The record is from RNAcentral.